AGAGUUUGAUCCUGGCUCAGAUUGAACGCUGGCGGCAUGCCUUACACAUGCAAGUCGAACGGUAACAGGUUAAGCUGACGAGUGGCGAACGGGUGAGUAAUGUAUCGGAACGUGCCCAGUCGUGGGGGAUAACUGCUCGAAAGAGCAGCUAAUACCGCAUACGACCUGAGGGUGAAAGCGGGGGAUCGCAAGACCUCGCGCGAUUGGAGCGGCCGAUAUCAGAUUAGGUAGUUGGUGGGGUAAAGGCUCACCAAGCCAACGAUCUGUAGCUGGUCUGAGAGGACGACCAGCCACACUGGGACUGAGACACGGCCCAGACUCCUACGGGAGGCAGCAGUGGGGAAUUUUGGACAAUGGGCGCAAGCCUGAUCCAGCCAUGCCGCGUGCGGGAAGAAGGCCUUCGGGUUGUAAACCGCUUUUGUCAGGGAAGAAAAGGUUCUGGCUAAUACCUGGGACUCAUGACG
This 464-nucleotide ribosomal RNA is filed under the name Roseateles puraquae. RNAcentral describes it as "bacterial SSU rRNA". It matches the Rfam family "Bacterial small subunit ribosomal RNA", at positions 8 to 484 of the family's 1533-position model. Lineage: Bacteria; Pseudomonadati; Pseudomonadota; Betaproteobacteria; Burkholderiales; Sphaerotilaceae. The record is from RNAcentral.